RNAcentral lists this transfer RNA (73 nucleotides) under Bos taurus (domestic cattle). It matches the Rfam family "tRNA". Rfam says of the family: Transfer RNA (tRNA) molecules are approximately 80 nucleotides in length. Their secondary structure includes four short double-helical elements and three loops (D, anti-codon, and T loops). RNAcentral also lists the same sequence under 2 other names. Lineage: Eukaryota; Metazoa; Chordata; Mammalia; Artiodactyla; Bovidae. The record is from Rfam by way of RNAcentral.
UCCCUGGUGGUUCAGAGGUUAAAACACCUGCCUGCAAUGCAGGAGUCAUGGGGUUCGAUCCCUGGGUUGGGAA